Molecule: ribosomal RNA, 169 nt
Filed under: uncultured bacterium
Lineage: Bacteria
Description: partial 16S ribosomal RNA
Rfam family: Bacterial small subunit ribosomal RNA
Source: RNAcentral
CCUACGGGAGGCAGCAGUGGGGAAUUUUUGGACAAUGGGCGCAAGCCUGAUCCAGCCAUGCCGCGUGAGUGAAGAAGGCCUUCGGGUUGUAAAGCUCUUUCGGCCGGGAAGAAAUCGUGUUCUCUAACAUAGGACAUGGAUGACGGUACCGGACUAAGAAGCACCGGCU